This 72-nucleotide transfer RNA is filed under the name Eubacteriales bacterium. Its description in RNAcentral is "tRNA-Gln". It matches the Rfam family "tRNA". Rfam says of the family: Transfer RNA (tRNA) molecules are approximately 80 nucleotides in length. The record is from RNAcentral. Lineage: Bacteria; Bacillati; Bacillota; Clostridia; Eubacteriales.
AGCCCCGUAGCCAAGGGUGUAAGGCAAUGGACUUUGACUCCAUGAUCAGCGGUUCGAAUCCGCUCGGGGCUG